This 253-nucleotide ribosomal RNA is filed under the name uncultured bacterium. RNAcentral describes it as "partial 16S ribosomal RNA". It matches the Rfam family "Bacterial small subunit ribosomal RNA", at positions 524 to 776 of the family's 1533-position model. The record is from RNAcentral.
UACGUAGGGGGCAAGCGUUGUCCGGAUUUAUUGGGCGUAAAGAGCGUGUAGGCGGCCUGGUAGGUCAGCUGUGAAAACUCGAGGCUCAACCUCGAGACGUCGGUUGAAACCACCUGGCUAGAGUCCGGAAGAGGAGAGUGGAAUUCCCGGCUUAGCGGUGAAAUGCGCAGAUAUCGGGAAGAACACCCGUGGCGAAGGCGGCUCUCUGGGACGGUACUGACGCUGAGACGCGAAAGCGUGGGGAGCGAACAGG